GACGAACGCUGGCGGCGUGCCUAAUACAUGCAAGUAGAACGCUGAAGGAGGAGCUUGCUUCUCUGGAUGAGUUGCGAACGGGUGAGUAACGCGUAGGUAACCUGCCUGGUAGCGGGGGAUAACUAUUGGAAACGCUAGCUAAUACCGCAUAAGAGUAGAUGUUGCAUGACAUUUUCUUAAAAGGUGCAAUUGCAUCACUACCAGAUGGACCUGCGUUGUAUUAGCUAGUUGGUGGGGUAAAGGCUCACCAAGGCGACGAUUCAUAGCCGGCCUGAGAGGGGGGUCGGCCACCCUGGGACUGGGACACGGCCCAAACCCCUACGGGGGGCAGCCGUAGGGGAUCUUCGGCCAAGGAGGGAAGUCUGACCGGGCAACGCCGCGGGAGUGAAGAAGGUUUUCGGAUCUGUAAGCUCUGUUGUAAGAGAAGAACGGGUGUGUGAGUGGAAAGUUCAUACUGUGACGGUAUCUUACGAGAAAGGGACGGCUAACUACGUG
RNAcentral lists this ribosomal RNA (495 nucleotides) under uncultured bacterium. Its description in RNAcentral is "partial 16S ribosomal RNA". It matches the Rfam family "Bacterial small subunit ribosomal RNA", at positions 28 to 507 of the family's 1533-position model. The record is from RNAcentral.